AAGCUCACGGAGCGCUGAGCACAUUUGUCUUGCAGGGAGAGGGAGAAUUGAGGGCUGCAAUAAGCAGCAUUAAAUAGCCAAGAGUGCGGGAUUACAGCUCGGCUGCUCCCCGCCUGCCGCGCUCUCCCAGCCGCUUCCCACGGCCUUCCCGUCAUCCCUGGGCAGCAGGAACGGUUCCUGGAGCUCUUCUCCCAUCUUCUGCUGUGCCUCAGGAUUUUGCGAUCCCAGGACUCCACGAUUUGUGUGCCAGAGCAGCGAUCAGGGGAGGUGCUGCUGUCCCCGGGUGUGCCUCCGGGCAGUGCCGGUGUCACCAACGGCGUCAGCAGGGUCCCAGCAGCGCGGGGCUGCUCGGGGGAGGACGGGCGAUGGAAUUCCAUGGAAAAGGCACACGGACGCUGUCCCCCUGUGUGCAUUCACCCCCGCAGCCCCCGGGAGAGCCUCGGGGCUGCGGCGGCGGGCACGGCCUCCCCGGCUGGCUGGGGACAGGCCGGUGGCAGCAGGGGGCUGUGGCGAGCCGCGGCUCCCGGAGCGGCCCCGGGGGCUGCGCUUCCUCCGCUCCCGGCGGGGGCUGUGGGAACCUCCGGCCGCCCGUCCCCCCCCGCGGGCAGCGCCGGCCCCGCGCCGGGGGCGCGAUGCUCGGGCGGAGCCGCGCUCGGGAAAAGUGUGGGAAGAGCGGAUGGGAAAGGCACGGCCGCGUCCUCCCGGAGCCCGGGCCGGGGCAGGGCAGCGGCCCCAGCGCAAUUCCCAGCCCCGGGAAUAGCAGGGAGGGUUUAACCCUCUGCGCGCUGGGGAUGCGGGACGGGACUCGGUGCCCGCCCCGACACAAACGAGAGGCACUGGGAGCACCUUUGCCUGCUCCUACCUGUGCAAGGGACACUGGGGAAACCCCUGCCCACCUAAGAAAGGGACACUGGGGACAGCUCUGCCCACCUAAGAAAGGGACACCUAAGAAAGGGACCACCUUUGCCUGCUCCUAGCUGUGCAAGGGACACUGGGGACAUCCCUGGCCACCUAAGAAAGGGACACUGGGGACAGCUCUGUCCACCCCUACCGAAACAAGAGACACUGGGACACCUCUAUCCAGCCCUACCCCAAACAAGAGACACUGGGGACACCUCUGCUCACCUAAGAAAGGGACACUGAGGACAGCUCUGUCCAUCCCUACAAACAAGGGACACUGAGGACAGCUCUGUCCACCCCUACCCAAACAAGGGACACUGGGGACACCCCUGCCCACCUAAGAAAGGGACACUGGGACACCUCUGUCCAUCCCUACCUGUGCAAGGGGCACUUUGAUAGCCCUGCCCACAGGAGCACCCUCACAGUGAUGCCACCAGCACUGCCCUCAUUAAAACCUCGGCGUGACUGAGCAGCGAGUCCCAGGGAGGGCUGGAAAAGGCUUUUGCUGUCGUGUCCAGGUGGGAUCAGAGGCUGGAAACCCAACAAGGCACUUUCUCAUCCUGGAAAAGCACCGCAGGCUUGGGUUCCUCCCCGAGUGACAGCCCUGCCAAGGCACUGUCACACAUUCCCGGGCAGCAUUAAAGGACCGGGGAGAGAUGGCAGCGAAUUUGCAUUGAAAAUGGUCACGUUGGCAUUUGCUUCGUGCUGAACAUCGCUGCUCUUCAAAGCAACACACAUUUUCACACGGAAAAGGAGAGGAAGGAGCACACUGUCCCAGCCGAGGAGAAAACUCGAGGGACCUCCAGCCUGAGAAAUCCCAGCGAGUUCUGGGGAUUAACACGUGCCCUUCCAGGCGGGGAGGUUGGAGGCAAAAUCCUUGGGAAAUGCCAGAGCUCUGCUAACAGAUUGUGAACCUUCAUUAAAAUGGAUUAUUUUUGCUUUGGAGAUUUAACCAGCAACAUGACUUUCCCCUCUCGCUGGCCCUGUUCUGCCUCAGCCCGCAGAGAGCUCGGGCCAAGGAGGAGCUUGCAAAAUUAAUUCCGAAAGAAGAGGCUGAAACUUCCAGGACGUGAAUUCUCCUCAUCCCCUCAGCUCAGAGAGCUCAGCACAGAAAUCAUCAGGCAAGGGCUUGGAGCAGACCCCUGCCAUGGAGGAGAGCUCAGGGGAGCUGGGCAAGGCUUGGGAAAGGCAGGGAAGGAUCUAAGCAGUGACCUCUUGGGAAGGAAUCCGAGGGGAUCCCAAACCCAAGGGGGUCAGAGGGGAGCCUUUGCUGUCGGACAACAACUCCACCAGAUGGGAGGGUCAGCUGCUCCUUCUGAGCCAGCCAGGACAGCGUGAGGGCUCUGAGGGCAGCUCUGGCUCAGCCCAGCCCAGAGCAAUCCUGGUCAGAGAAUCCCAGAACGGUUUGGGUUGAACCAAUAAACUUAAAGCUCAUUCCAUUCCAAUCCCUGCCAUGGGCAGGAACACCUUCCACUGUCCCAGAGUGUUCCAAGCCCCAUCCAGCCUGGCCUUGGGCACUGCCAGGGAUCCAGGGGCAGCCACAGCUGCUCUGGGCACCCUGUGCCAGGGCCUGCCCACCCUGCCAGGGAACAAUUCCUGCCCAAUCUCCCAUCCAUCCCUGCCUUCUGGCAAUGGGAAGCCAUUCCCUGUGUCCUGUCCCUCCAGGCAUUGGCAAUUGUCUCUCUCCAUGUUCCUGCAGCUCCUUCAGGCUCUGCAAGGCCACCCUGAGCUCACCCCAAAGCUUCUCCUGUGCAGGUGAACAAUCCCAGCUCUCCCAGCCGUUCCUCCCAGCAGAGCUGCUCCAUCCCUCUGCUCAUCCUGGUGCCUCCUCUGGCCUGGCUCCAGCAGCUCCAGCUCCUUGCUGUGCUGGGCCCCGGGGCUGGGGCAGCUCUGCAGGUGGGCUCUGACCUGAGCACAGGGGAUGGGGCAGAAUCCCCUCCCCUGCCGUGGGAUCAGGACAGGGUUGUUUUUCCUGUGCCACCACAAGGACUUUCCCCACCCCCAGGUCUCUGCCUCUGCUGUCCCAAAGCUCUGGUGCCUCCGUGCCUGCGGUGUCCCUGCUCGUCCUGCAGCCCAAUCCCAGCUCCGUGACUGUCACCACUGAAUAUCCCAGGCAGCUCCAGCAAAGCCCCUCGGCAGGAGGGGAUACAAUAUCCACAGGAGAUACUGAAACCUCUCCAGGAUGUUGCCCCACGCCAUGGGAGCAGCCUCACACGGGAAGCACAAGGCAGGAGUCUCCCAUCAGGAGCAGGAGUGCAGCUCUGCUGUCCCAAAGCAUCUCUUUCCUCGCGGGAAUUUUAGAGGGAUGUAACCCAGGUGCUCAGCUGGCCUCAGCAUUGUGCUGUUGUGGGCAUAAAGGACUAAUUUUCCCCAAAAUCCCCUUCUGCUCUCUCAUCUGCAUAUUGCUCUGCUGGAAAGUGGAAGCUGUUUCCCAAUCUUCCCAGGCACACGUUUUCCAUGUGCCUAACCCGGGAUUAAUUGGGUUUGGAGCUGUGGCUGUGGGAAGGCUCUGAUGUCCUCCCGUACAGUUUGACUCCCGAGUUCCUUGGCAAUUCUAAUUCCUCGCUCACAUUUCGAACAGCAAUUCCAUGUUAUUUUUAGUCCUAAAACAUUAUGAACAUAGAGGAAACGAGACACCUACAGAAGUUGCCCCUGUGCAAAAUUAUGAAUGAUUCAAAAGUGCUGUCGCAAUUGCCAAGCUCUCCUGUUCUAAAAAGCUUUGUAAUAUUCACAGUAUGGGCUUGGCUGGCUCCUGAGCAGUGCAAAACACCCGGCAGAAAUUAAUUGUCGAGCCCUGAAUUUACCCUCAGGGAAUCAGAGAUAAAAGCACCGAGAUUGGGGGGUGAUAAGGGAAUCCCACCCUCCACCCUGUGCAAAGGGAAACUGCUCCUGCCUCAGUUUCCCCUCCUCCAGCAUCGCUCUGGGGGGUGGGAAAGUGGGAAUAUUAGCCCCGGGGAUCCCAUUAAAGCAGCUUUAAGGGGUCGGAUCAAUUAAUUCGCUGCUGGUAUCUCGUGGUGCAGGUGUUCAGUGUCCCCAUGGAAGUCACUGUGAGCCGUGGGGUGACCGGGAGAUUUAUAUUUGUACAAUGGCCUCACUGUCGAGGCGGACGAGCCCCUGACAUGGCAGCACUUACAGUCCAUAAAGCAGCAAUUAUCCCUGUUAUUAGAUCAUCCCAUUUCCAGCCGGAAUCCUGCGCCUGUGGAGCAUGCAAAGCCAGCCGGUGCCUCUCCCAGUGCCGGGCUAAUCUGUGCUAAUCCAUUAUGUAAAUCACCAGGACAAUAACCAGAGACAGGCGUGCCAUGUCUUCCAAGCAUCCGGCCCUCCUUAAUGAAAUUUGACCCACAAACGCGAGGGUUUGGGCUGCAGGGGCCGGGGGAGCUGGGUGGGAAGAGCAUCUGCACUUGGCAAUUUGGAGGCGCAGUUUGGAGCCCCGGGGCCCCUCCCGAGCUCAGCCUUUUCCCGGGGCUGCUGCUGAUCUGGUCCCCGAACAUUCCCUGACCCUUUGAAACAGGACCCCUGCCCCCAAACCGGGUCAUUUUGGAGCAGCUGCUGCUGCCUCGGGGCAGGGCUCUGCACGUGGAGUCACUUUUGUGACCAGGACCUUCGGGAAUCUCAGGAACAAUAAAACUUGACUAGGUCAGGGGAGAGUGUGUGUUUUUCUUACUUAA
Molecule: long non-coding RNA, 4568 nt
Organism: Prinia subflava (tawny-flanked prinia)
Lineage: Eukaryota; Metazoa; Chordata; Aves; Passeriformes; Cisticolidae
Exons: 4
Source: RefSeq, a predicted model, not a curated record